UCCAAUGUGGUGUAGUGGCUAACAUUGCUGUCUUUCAUGGAAGGUCAUCCAAAUAACACAGCAGCCCGGGGUUCGAUUCCCCGCAUUGGAA
Molecule: non-coding RNA, 91 nt
Organism: Stygiomarasmius scandens
Lineage: Eukaryota; Fungi; Basidiomycota; Agaricomycetes; Agaricales; Campanellaceae
Source: the annotation of a GenBank genome assembly